This 274-nucleotide ribosomal RNA is filed under the name uncultured bacterium. RNAcentral describes it as "partial 16S ribosomal RNA". It matches the Rfam family "Bacterial small subunit ribosomal RNA", at positions 335 to 605 of the family's 1533-position model. The record is from RNAcentral.
AGUCCUACGGGGCGCAGCAGUGAGGAAUAUUGGUCAAUGGGCGGAAGCCUGAACCAGCCAAGUCGCGUGAGGGAAGAAGGCCCUGCGGGUCGCAGACCUCUUUGGACGGGGAGCAAGGCCGCCGACGUGUCGGCGGAAGGAGAGUACCCGUAGAACAAGCAUCGGCUAACUCCGUGCCAGCGGCCGCGGUAAUACGGAGGAUGCGAGCGUUAUCCGGAUUUAUUGGGUUUAAAGGGUGCGUAGGCGGGCUGUUAAGUCAGCGGUCAAAUGUCGG